RNAcentral lists this ribosomal RNA (215 nucleotides) under uncultured Anaerolineaceae bacterium. RNAcentral describes it as "partial 16S ribosomal RNA". It matches the Rfam family "Bacterial small subunit ribosomal RNA", at positions 1173 to 1382 of the family's 1533-position model. The record is from RNAcentral. Lineage: Bacteria; Bacillati; Chloroflexota; Anaerolineae; Anaerolineales; Anaerolineaceae.
UGGGGAGUGACGUCAAGUACAGCAUGGCCGUUUACUUAUCCUGGGCUACACACACGCUACAAUGGGAAGGGACAAUAGGUUGCGAAGCCGCGAGGCGGAGCCAAUCCAGCAAAACUUCCCUCAGUUCAGAUUGCAGGCUGCAACUCGCCUGCAUGAAGUUGGAGUUGCUAGUAAUCGCGGAUCAGCAUGCCGCGGUGAAUACGUUCCCGGGCCUU